This 1202-nucleotide ribosomal RNA is filed under the name uncultured marine eukaryote. Its description in RNAcentral is "SSU rRNA". It matches the Rfam family "Eukaryotic small subunit ribosomal RNA", at positions 1 to 1349 of the family's 1831-position model. The record is from RNAcentral.
UAACCUGGUUGAUCCUGCCAGUAGUCAUAUGCUUGUCUCAAAGACUAAGCCAUGCACGUCUAAGUACAAACUAAAUGAUGGUGAAACUGCAAAUGGCUCAUUACAACGGUUAUGAUGUACCCGGGAGUUCCGAUGGAUAUUUCCAGUAACACUAGAACUAAUACAUGUCCCUGCGUUUAUUAGUUUCGCACAGUCCGUCGCUGAGUCAUGGUAAACAGUUGAUCGACUCGACGUCCCGGAACAGUUUCCGCCCCAUCAGCUUCGAUGGUUGGGUAUUGGCCUACCAUUGCAACAACGGGUAACGAGGAAUUAGGGUUUGAUUUCGGAGAGGGAGCCUGAGAAACGGCUACCACAUCUACGGAUGGCAGCAGGCGCGCAAAUUACCCAAUGCAGACACUGUGAGGUAGUGACGAGAAAUAAUAAAGCGGGACUUCUGUUUCGCUAUUAUAAUGAGGAAUAACCAAAAGGUCAUUCCGAUUAGCAACUGAUGGGAAAGUCUGGUGCCAGCAGCCGCGGUAAUACCAGCGUCAGUAGCAUAUAUUAAAAUUGUUGCAGUUAAAACGUCCGUAGUCUGUACGUCGUCCCAAACUCACUGCAGUCUUCCGUUUUCUUAAUUGAAUGCGGUAGUUUCUGCAGUCACUCCCUUGAUCAAAUUAGGUUGUUCAAGGUAGACCAAGUCUUCAUAUUUUCACAUGGAAUUGGGUGAGGGAACUUAAGAGUUUAAGUUUCUCGUCUUAGGAUCAUCCGGGGUCAUUCGUACUCGUCCGCGAGAGGUGAAAUUCUUGGACCGGACGAAGACGACCAGCAGCGAAAGCAUCUGUCAGGGAUGUUUUCUGCGACAAAGGACGAAGGUCAGGGUAUCGAAGACGAUUAGAUACCGUCGUAGUCCUGACUGUAAACUAUGCCAACUUGGGUCUUGCUGGGCGAUGCUUUGUGAGACCCACACAGAAAUGAAAGUGUAUGGGUUCUGGGGGUAGUAUGGACACAAGUCUGAAACUUGAAGGAAUUGACGGAAGAGCACCAUAAGACGUGGAGCUUGCGGCUUAAUUUGACUCAACGCGGGAAAACUUACCAGGUCAAGACAUGGGCGUGAUUGACAGGCUAAUGACUUUUCUCGAUUCCAUGGAUGGUGGUGCAUGGUCGCACUUAGUUGGUGCAGUGAUUUGUCAGGUUUAUUCCGGUAACGAACGAGACCUUAGCCU